Molecule: long non-coding RNA, 5062 nt
Organism: Columba livia (rock pigeon)
Lineage: Eukaryota; Metazoa; Chordata; Aves; Columbiformes; Columbidae
Exons: 3
Source: RefSeq, a predicted model, not a curated record
GGGGAAAUGGAGGAAGGAAGGGCUGUGAGAAAAGCCCUCUCAGGGCCCAGAUCUGCUAGUGUCAGGGAGGGGAUGAAGAUGGUAGAAAAUACAACAGGAGGGAGUUUGUCUUUCUGAGCAAGAUUAUUUACUCUCAGCCUAGGUGAUACUUUGCAGGUAGCCGUCGCAAAACAGAUGCUCCUGGGGAAAUCUUUAGGAUUUCUGCUGGGUGGAUUCAAGACGGCAUCAGCUUGGAAAGAUGUGAUGCUGGGUCUGAAUGCACUCCAGCGCCCUGUUCUAGUCUUCUGACAAGCAGAUAAGAAGAAUGAGAACUACUAUCCCAGGCUCUGGUGCCCUUGGCAGAUGAUUAAAAAUGCAAUCCAGUGGACACAGAAGCCAACAGCCUCUCUCAGGGCUGAAAAAGCCAAGUCCCAGGCUGGGAUUUGCCUGUUUGGACUCCAACAAAACCGAACCAUGUGAAGCUGAGCUCUGCUGUGGUCUUCUUGCUCAGCUCCCUGCUCUCCAGGUACGAUGUGCUGAGGUGGUGGUGACAGGGCCAGGGACAUUCCACCCAUCCUGCCUUGGGCUGCUGUAGGAUGCUGGACAUCGGCCUCUCCAAUCUGUCCAGCUGCAUGUCUCCUCUGCUUGUGGCCUGAACCCAAAGUUGUGUUUUCAUCCCCCAAAUCAUCCCACCCUACUUGUUUCUCCUGCCAGCCAAGCAAGUGACUAUGGGGAUAAGGGGUUGCUUUUGAGAUACGUACUGCGGUGGUGGGUAAAACCAGGCAGCAGUGCAGUCCUGCAUGUAGGACAGGAGUGACUUGCAAACUAAAUAAUCGUGCCAAGUUUAUUAUAAUUAUGCUAAUGAAAUCAAUGGACUGGGGAAAGCGUGGGCAAUACAGUGUGGGUCAGUGGAAAAGGGUUGUCAGCCAUUGGAACAGGCUGCCCAGAUAUGUGGUUGCAUCACAAUCCCUGAAGGGGUUCAAAAGACACAUAGAUGAGGUUCUUAGGGCUGUGGUUUAGUGGUGGACUUCAGUGUUGGGUUAACCAUUGGAUCUGAUGAUCUUCAAGGUCUUUUCUAAUCAAAAUGAUUCUGUGAUAACAGAGGACUUUGCCCAGCAAGUGGUGGUGGUGGCACAAAUCCUGGCUCCUUUCUGUUCCCAGGGGCUGCACCUCAUCCACAUGGUGCAGAAAACAGUGUGAGUCAAAACCUCUAGAGAAGCUGUUGUAGCUUUUCAUUUUGUCGCUUGUCACAAAGCUGUGCCCACAGCCUGUCCUGGCUGGGUGAUGUCCAGGCCACACUGAGUCUCACUCCAGCUCCCGCCGCAGCCUCUGCUGGUGCCUCCACCAGCAACAGGCACGGAAUUUGCUCCCUUGCUGCAAAAAGCUGCAUCAGGCCAAGCAGCACUGGGAGUCACAAAUCUGCCCUGGGGGAGAGCAAAAAAGUGCAGUGAUGGCUGCUCUGGGGAGAUUGGGAAGCUCUUGAGGAAAGAGAGAGAAUAUAAUUUGCUCCAGUUUUGGGGGCAGCAACUUGUAAGAUGCUCAGCACUUCCCAGAAUUCAAGUCUUAGCUUCCUGUUAACGUUUCAGUGAGAAUAAGAAUAGUUGCUGGGGAAAGAUGCAAACACAUGUUUCACCAGUAAACGGUGCCCAAACACAGACUGUUUUACAGGUGCACCUUUAUUUGCCUUCUGCCUGUUGUGCCAUUGCUCAGAAGCCAUUGUAGCAUCUGUCUGUUUAGCAAGGAGGAAGGGACUGAAAAUAUGUUUAAAAUCUCAGAUGUGGAGGCAGGUGUUUAGCUCUGAAUGCUGUGACUUUUCUCUCUCUGGUGAUGGAUGGGAAAGACCCAAACAAAUAAACAAAUGCACUGAUUGUGAACCACUGGGAUACAGAAAAGACAGAGUCAAGGUGGAGGGAGCCCGAUGUAGGAAAGGAGACAAUAACUUGAUGGCUUGGUGAACUGCAGGGGAUGCAUUAGCAGACCUGCUUAUGCAUUUGCCAGCCAUUUGGUCAUACAGCCAUCAGAGUUUGCACCUUUCCUUAAGCUGUUAUUAUCUGUGUCCUGCUCUUGGUUGUUCACCCCAAAGUGUUUUUCCUGCUGCUCACAAAGUGGCAGAAACACUCAGCGAGGAUCUUGGCACUGCAUUUUCCCAUGGGAUUUUUUCAUGCAAAGCUCCCCUGUGCUACAGCGGCUGCAUUUCUGGAUGUGUGAUUAUUUCCAUUAGUCUCUAGAGGUCUCCAAACACACAGCCUGGACUUUCAGGACCUGAACAUGGUGCUUGCCCCUGCACCACACACCAUACAUUGGUUUUUUCCUUGUUGCACUGCCUGGCUCUGCAGUUCACCCACAGCAUGAUGCUCUGGUUUCUGACACCUGCUCAGGUUUUACUGUCAGGUCUUGUAGGAAAGAGACGUCCAUCCCAUGAUUAACUGAACAAUGCCAUUGGAAAUUGCCCCAGGUGCCCUCUCCACAUGUGUUGAUCCAUAUCUACCUUGUCCCAUCAGCCAGAAAUAUCAGCCCACAGCCUUAGCUGUGCCAACACCUGUGCUGUAUAUGUCCUCAGACAUUAUUGCACAGCCCUGUCUCCUAUUAAUAUUCACCUAUAUAUGUACUCACAUAUGUAUAGCAGCCACUGAACCUCAGCGAUAUAUACCCACUGAAGGUCUGUGAUCACAAAUCAACCCGCGUUCCUUAAACACACCAAUGCAAACAAAACAGCCCAGUGCUCCUGGCCCACAGCCAUGUGUGGCUGGUGGACUCGGAUGUGCAAAGCUGCUUUAGUGGCUGGACACAGGGAUGCAGGCAGAGCCGGGCUCCUCUUGGAAUCACCCUUGGCCAACUCUCUUGGGACUAAUCCAGGUACUUCCAGACAUGUAGCCUUAUGGAAUAAUUUAAGAUUAAGCUGAGAAAUCAUGUAUUUUUGGUGGUGGGCUCUAACCACCAGUUAGGCUGGGCACAGCAGCGAGAAUGGAAGUGGUACCAUUGCAAAAUCCCUCACUUUUUCUUGCUUUGAACAUCCUCAUCCAGGCACCAACCACCACUUGUCUGGGGAGAGCACCGUGACUCCCUUUUCCAGCCCAAGGACUCAGGGCUUUUCCUCCACCUCUGCAGCUGGAGUGACUCACUGGCUUUCCUAAAACCCCAUGCUCUUUUUUUAGGACAAUAGCUUUGCAGGAAAAAAACAUACCAUAAAACAAUAGCCUGGGUGCAAGCAGAGCCCCACGGACAUGGCCCUCUGGCUGUGCUCCAGGUAGGCUCAGCUCUUUCUCGGAGGGUGGAUCAGGAUUACUCCAAAUCCAGAUGGGUCUACCAGAGCCUUCCCCACCACACCAAAUCAGGGGCUGCGAUUUCCCCAGCACAUGCCUCUGUGUGAGGCUUCUCCAGACUUGCUUAUCUGUCACUUGGCAGUAUUUGUACCUCCUCCGCAGCCAUUUCAGUUUCUCCAGGGAAUUCCUAAAACUCCCCCAUGCAAUUGGGAAUCAGUCCUCUGUUCCAGCUGUGCCGCCUCGAGAAUGUGUUACCCUGAGAAGGGUUUUGAUGCAUGGCCUUGCCAGCUCAUCCCGGUUCCCUUUCCCCCAGACCUACACCUCAGUGUUAAUUCUCUGCUCCUGGUUGCUCAGCUUGGGACAUCUCUCCAGUGCUGCUGUCUACAAGCAGCAUCCAGGGACCGGCCAUCUCAGUGCCAUGUCAGGGCUGGAUGGUAAAAAUGCUCCUCCAGGCUUAGUGCUGGAGAAGAAAAAAACUAUAUAUGGAUGCAACUCCUUUGAGUUAAACCUUGGUGCAACAGGCUAUGUUAUAUCUAUAUUUCUGCAAUCUCACACUGCUGUGCUUUACGGGACUGGCCAGAAGAGGGCUGGAGACUCCAGGCAAAUCCCUGAGACAAAUGAUAAUCAUAAGAAAAAUCACACUUGGGUCUAACUCUAGGGAAGCCUGAUGCAACACUUGCUGCUGCUCUGGGAUAGGGUCAGCUCUGUAGUCUGCACCUCUGAUACCUGCUUUAAAAAGAAUUCAUCCUCUCUGAACAUGCAUUGCAGAAGGAGCCCCUUGCAUCUGCACAGCCUGAACACUCCAAGGCAGCUUGCUGCAGAGCAAGAGGAAAACAUCACACCCUGCAAGGUGGCAAGAGAAACAGGGAGAAGGUAACACCCCCCGGCACACUCUGCCAGGUGCCAGACGGGUGUUGACUGAGCUUCAUGCACCUUGUUGGAGUGCCAGCUCCACGAACGAGCCACUGAGCUGCUGGGAAUGGCUUCUGUGUUGGUGGCUUGUAGGGCUGUUGCGUUUGUCAGAUUUUCCAUUCUUUGCCUGCUUGUUAUCAUGUCUUGUCACCCUCCCAGCUAGGCACUGGUGCUGCUGAAGGGGAGGCCAUGUCCUCCCCAUGGCACUCGUCUGGGCAGCUGCCGGUAUGAAAUCCUGCUUUUACACCUGUUGGCUGGCAAGUGAGAAAAGGAGCCUGGUUCUGUCCUGGCAGUGCUGUGAAUGUGAAUCUCUGUAAGCAAAAUCUCUGCCUCUCGGUGCACUAUUCCCCCGUGCUGGUGAAAGGGCAAGGCAAUCCCAGCCCCACCGGCGCCGUGAAACAGCACAAGUGCAACUGAGGCCAAGCCAGGAGCCGCUGCUGUUCCCUGCUCAGGAUUUCCCUUUCACGCGGCUUUGAGGAGCAGGGAUGAAAGGCAAGGCAAUGGAAACACAAAGCACAUCUGGUUUAUUUUAUUUAUGACUAGCCUCUGCUUAAAAGGAAACCAGCAUUAUCAGUUCCAGCACCCCCAGGUCAGAUGAGUAAAUGAAAGAGGAGGGUUUCGUUUAUGAUCUGGAACUCAAGUUUGCUCUUAUAUGGGCAUCCCCACCAGGCAUUGCUUGCUGCCACCUUGCUGCUACUCGUGUCACGGGGACGCAAGGCUCCAGCUGAGCCAGGGUCCUCCAGAGGUGAAAGGCACAAAGCAGAGAAAGUGGUUGAGCUCAUGUUGGAUCUACCCCUAUCUCCUUGGCUCAGGGCAGCUACACGUGCUGCAACACAAACAUCGCUGCAGCCAGCACAUCCCAGCCGGUCAGUGCUCAUACUUGCAGUGUUGUUAUCCAGCCAGGCUUU